GUUUGAAUGUUCUAUUUGCUUAACUGAAGACAUUUCCUAUAAAGCAAAGAAUCUACAUGUUUAUUUUUAUCUUUGAGGAGACGCACAGCUUCAUUAAAUUAUUUUACAUAGCUGAGGAAUUCAAGAUUUCAACAGUUGAGAAGAUAUGCUACUGGGACACUAGAUUAACAUGUUCCUUUGAUCCAGUAACGAGAUAGAGCCAAGUUACUCUGGGAGUUAAGUGACACUUGCUAAGUGGAAUGUUAUGGUGAGAUUAGAGGAAAGGAGCACCCAUUUGCAGACCAUCUGUCUUCCAAAUUUUCUACGUACAAAAUCGUCCUCAAAGAGCUGUUUCAGAAUCAAUAAGUUUCUCCUGAGAGGCUCUGGAGCAAGAAGGGACUUGAGUGAAGACAGCCUUACGUCAAUAAAGGGAGAGCCUUGGAUGGCACGCAUUAAGAUAUCAAAGUCAUCGCAAGAUGGAAAGAUCGUGGAUCCCUCAAAGUCUUUGCCUAUGACUGAAAAAUAAACAACAUUGUUUUAAGCUACUGUGUUUUAAUGUUUUAAGCAUUAACUAUCUUGACUAAUAGAUAUUGUCAGAAAAAAUAAACCUAAAAAAUAAUACCA
RNAcentral lists this long non-coding RNA (603 nucleotides) under Vulpes vulpes (red fox). RNAcentral's name for it is "lncRNA (ENSVVUG00000022319.1)". Lineage: Eukaryota; Metazoa; Chordata; Mammalia; Carnivora; Canidae. The record is from RNAcentral.